GAGGGUAUAGCUCAAUGGUAGAGGGUGUGAUUAGCAUGCAUGAGGUUCUAGGUUCAAUCCCCAGUAUCUCCA
RNAcentral lists this transfer RNA (72 nucleotides) under Camelus bactrianus (Bactrian camel). It matches the Rfam family "tRNA". Rfam says of the family: Transfer RNA (tRNA) molecules are approximately 80 nucleotides in length. Lineage: Eukaryota; Metazoa; Chordata; Mammalia; Artiodactyla; Camelidae. RNAcentral also lists the same sequence under 2 other names. The record is from Rfam by way of RNAcentral.